RNAcentral lists this ribosomal RNA (301 nucleotides) under uncultured bacterium. Its description in RNAcentral is "partial 16S ribosomal RNA". It matches the Rfam family "Bacterial small subunit ribosomal RNA", at positions 509 to 808 of the family's 1533-position model. The record is from RNAcentral.
CAGUAGCCACGGGAAUACAGAGGGUGCGAGCGUUAAUCGGAUUUACUGGGCGUAAAGCGUGCGUAGGCGGCUUUUUAAGUCGGAUGUGAAAUCCCUGAGCUUAACUUAGGAAUUGCAUUCGAUACUGGGAAGCUAGAGUAUGGGUGAGGAUGGUAGAAUUCCAGGUGUAGCGGUGAAAUGCGUAGAGAUCUGGAGGAAUACCGAUGGCGAAGGCAGCCAUCUGGCCUAAUACUGACGCUGAGGUACGAAAGCAUGGGGAGCAAACAGGAUUAGAUACCCCGUAGUCCCUGUCUCUUAUACA